RNAcentral lists this ribosomal RNA (466 nucleotides) under uncultured bacterium. RNAcentral describes it as "bacterial SSU rRNA". It matches the Rfam family "Bacterial small subunit ribosomal RNA", at positions 32 to 526 of the family's 1533-position model. The record is from RNAcentral.
AAUCAACGCUGGCGGCGUGCCUAACACAUGCAAGUCGAACGAGAAAGUGGAGCAAUCCAUGAGUAAAGUGGCGCACGGGUGAGUAACACGUGACUAACCUACCCUUGAGUGGGGGAUAACCUAGGGAAACCUGGGCUAAUACCGCAUAAUACCCACGGGUCAAAGGAGCAAUUCGCUUAAGGAGGGGGUCGCGGCCGAUUAGUUAGUUGGCGGGGUAAUGGCCCACCAAGACUAUGAUCGGUAUCCGGCCUGAGAGGGCGCACGGACACACUGGAACUGAAACACGGUCCAGACUCCUACGGGAGGCAGCAGUGGGGAAUUUUGCGCAAUGGGGGAAACCCUGACGCAGCAACGCCGCGUGGAGGAUGAAGUCCCUUGGGACGUAAACUCCUUUCGAUCGGGACGAUUAUGACGGUACCGGAAGAAGAAGCCCCGGCUAACUUCGUGCCAGCCGCCGCCGUAAAAC